CGGAGGGUGCAAGCGUUAUCCGGAUUCACUGGGUUUAAAGGGUGCGUAGGCGGAUAGGUAAGUCCGUGGUGAAAUCCUGCAGCUUAACUGCAGAACUGCCAUGGAUACUCUCUAUCUUGAAUGUCGUGGAGGUUAGCAGAAUAUGUCAUGUAGCGGUGAAAUGCUUAGAUAUGACAUAGAAUACCCAUUGCGAAGGCAGUUAACUACGCGAUAAUUGACGCUGAUGCACGAAAGCGUGGGGAUCAAACAGGAUUAGAUACCCUGGUAGUCCACGCCCUAAACGAUGAUUACUCGACAUUGGCGAUACACAGUCAGUGUCUGAGCGAAAGCAUUAAGUAAUCCACCUGGGAAGUACGAUCGCAAGAUUG
Molecule: ribosomal RNA, 368 nt
Filed under: uncultured organism
Description: bacterial SSU rRNA
Rfam family: Bacterial small subunit ribosomal RNA
Source: RNAcentral